UCGAACAUCGUGGUUGGGCGAAUGGCGG
This 28-nucleotide small RNA is filed under the name Bombyx mori (domestic silkworm). RNAcentral describes it as "ovarian small RNA-3400". The record is from RNAcentral. Lineage: Eukaryota; Metazoa; Arthropoda; Insecta; Lepidoptera; Bombycidae.